GAUGAACGCUGGCGGCGUGCCUAAUACAUGCAAGUCGAGCGAACGGACGAGAAGCUUGCUUCUCUGAUGUUAGCGGCGGACGGGUGAGUAACACGUGGAUAACCUACCUAUAAGACUGGGAUAACUUCGGGAAACCGGAGCUAAUACCGGAUAAUAUUUUGAACCGCAUGGUUCAAAAGUGAAAGACGGUCUUGCUGUCACUUAUAGAUGGAUCCGCGCUGCAUUAGCUAGUUGGUAAGGUAACGGCUUACCAAGGCAACGAUGCAUAGCCGACCUGAGAGGGUGAUCGGCCACACUGGAACUGGGACACGGUCCAGACUCCUACGGGAGGCAGCAGUAGGGAAUCUUCCGCAAUGGGCGAAAGCCUGACGGAGCAACGCCGCGUGAGUGAUGAAGGUCUUCGGAUCGUAAAACUCUGUUAUUAGGGAAGAACAUAUGUGUAAGUAACUGUGCACAUCUUGACGGUACCUAAUCAGAAAGCCACGGCUAACUACGUGCCAGCAGCCGCGGUAAUACGUAGGUGGCAAGCGUUAUCCGGAAUUAUUGGGCGUAAAGCGCGCGUAGGCGGUUUUUUAAGUCUGAUGUGAAAGCCCACGGCUCAACCGUGGAGGGUCAUUGGAAACUGGAAAACUUGAGUGCAGAAGAGGAAAGUGGAAUUCCAUGUGUAGCGGUGAAAUGCGCAGAGAUAUGGAGGAACACCAGUGGCGAAGGCGACUUUCUGGUCUGUAACUGACGCUGAUGUGCGAAAGCGUGGGGAUCAAACAGGAUUAGAUACCCUGGUAGUCCACGCCGUAAUCGAUGAGUGCUAAGUGUUAGGGGGUUUCCGCCCCUUAGUGCUGCAGCUAACGCAUUAAGCACUCCGCCUGGGGAGUACGACCGCAAGGUUGAAACUCAAAGGAAUUGACGGGGACCCGCACAAGCGGUGGAGCAUGUGGUUUAAUUCGAAGCAACGCGAAGAACCUUACCAAAUCUUGACAUCCUUUGACAACUCUAGAGAUAGAGCCUUCCCCUUCGGGGGACAAAGUGACAGGUGGUGCAUGGUUGUCGUCAGCUCGUGUCGUGAGAUGUUGGGUUAAGUCCCGCAACGAGCGCAACCCUUAAGCUUAGUUGCCAUCAUUAAGUUGGGCACUCUAAGUUGACUGCCGGUGACAAACCGGAGGAAGGUGGGGAUGACGUCAAAUCAUCAUGCCCCUUAUGAUUUGGGCUACACACGUGCUACAAUGGACAAUACAAAGGGCAGCGAAACCGCGAGGUCAAGCAAAUCCCAUAAAGUUGUUCUCAGUUCGGAUUGUAGUCUGCAACUCGACUACAUGAAGCCGGAAUCGCUAGUAAUCGUAGAUCAGCAUGCUACGGUGAAUACGUUCCCGGGUCU
This 1372-nucleotide ribosomal RNA is filed under the name uncultured bacterium. Its description in RNAcentral is "bacterial SSU rRNA". It matches the Rfam family "Bacterial small subunit ribosomal RNA", at positions 28 to 1381 of the family's 1533-position model. The record is from RNAcentral.